This 375-nucleotide ribosomal RNA is filed under the name uncultured bacterium. Its description in RNAcentral is "bacterial SSU rRNA". It matches the Rfam family "Bacterial small subunit ribosomal RNA", at positions 524 to 898 of the family's 1533-position model. The record is from RNAcentral.
UACAGAGGGUGCGAGCGUUAAUCGGAAUUACUGGGCGUAAAGAAUGCGUAGGCGGCUUGACAAGUCAGGAGUGAAAUCCCCAGGCUCAACCUGGGAACUGCUUUUGAAACUGUCUUGCUAGAGUCCCGGAGGGGUUGGCGGAAUUCCGAGUGUAGAGGUGAAAUUCGCAGAUAUUCGGAGGAACACCAGUGGCGUAGGCGGCCAACUGGACGGGAACUGACGCUGAGGCAUGAAAGUGUGGGGAGCAAACAGGAUUAGAUACCCUGGUAGUCCACACCGUAAACGAUGUGCGCUAGUUGUUGGAUAGCUUAGCUAUUCAGUGACGGAGCUAACGUUUUAAGCACACCGCCUGGGAAGUACGGCCGCAAGGUUAAA